CAAGUCUCUCAAAACACAAAAUGCCUCUCCUAUCCUUGCCUUUGGCACAUCUUGAGCCACUGCACAAUAAGGAAUCCAGGAGUCAGGGCGGUAAUCUUCAGUAAUCUCAAUCCCUUCCUUCUUCAAUGCAUCAUACAAUUGAGAAUGAAAUUGAAGAAGUGAAAGUGAAGGCGUAGGGGCUAAAAAGAGGACAUUGUUGUCAUUUGGGAGACCCCCAAUUGCAGAGAGAGAUAAGGAUAAUGGUUCCUGCUUUGAGGCAAAGUUCUUGACAAUUGAUUCAAGCUUUGUAGGCUCAGCAAACGAGCUAGAAUAGAGGGUUAUGUGAGGGCGAGACUCGAUUUCGAUGAGAUGGGUGCUGAUUUGACGUCGAGCUAGCACGUUCCAGGCCUUCAAGACCUGAUUUUCAAGGGCUGGAUCGAAAUAGAGUUCAAUUGCAUAACCUUGUGACAUCGAGUGACAAUUACGAACUAUAUGAAGCAGAACAGUAGUGAAAUAGCGAAAAUGUUGAUACCCAGAAAGGAAAUUUGAGAUCUAAGAGUACCCAGCUAUAGAAACAAGUGAACAGUAUGUGAAAUUAAACUAUCCCUAACAAGAGAAGCACAAGAGAAGGGAAGACCCAGUUAGGGAUUGAAGGUUAUAAAGGGCAAACAAGUUGAAGAAUGAGCCGCAAGGGGAAAAGCAGAAAACCCUAGAAAUUGGAAAAGGAAUCAGCAUAAAAUAGAAGAGACCCAGAUGAGAUUGAAGGUGAUAAACGCCUAAAAAAGUUGAGAAAAUGUAAAAUUAGAAACAGAAAGAGACAUGGGAGACAGAUCAGAGAAGCGGAGAGAAGGGAAGCACG
Molecule: unclassified non-coding RNA, 838 nt
Filed under: Hevea brasiliensis (rubber tree)
Lineage: Eukaryota; Viridiplantae; Streptophyta; Magnoliopsida; Malpighiales; Euphorbiaceae
Source: RNAcentral